GCAGAGUAAAGGAAUGUGCGUCAAGUGCCGGUUUGACGGGGAGUUGCAAACCGGACGAAAAACCCAUGGUUUGCGGUACAUUUCUUGCAUCCCGCUGC
RNAcentral lists this non-coding RNA (98 nucleotides) under chicken gut metagenome. RNAcentral describes it as "THF riboswitch". It matches the Rfam family "THF (Tetrahydrofolate) riboswitch aptamer". Rfam says of the family: THF riboswitch presents a pseudoknot that joins P1-P2 and the loop of P3 and two THF binding. The record is from RNAcentral.